This 94-nucleotide small RNA is filed under the name Pedobacter psychrophilus. Its description in RNAcentral is "Pedobacter sp. CCM 8644 Flavo-1 RNA". It matches the Rfam family "Flavo-1 RNA". Lineage: Bacteria; Pseudomonadati; Bacteroidota; Sphingobacteriia; Sphingobacteriales; Sphingobacteriaceae. The record is from Rfam by way of RNAcentral.
UUUUUGCGUUAACGAUAGUAGCGGCAUCCUUUUUUUGCUUUUUAAAAUAUCAUGCAAAUUGCAAAAAAAGAUACAGCGGAUAGCGUGUUAAAAC